Molecule: ribosomal RNA, 497 nt
Filed under: uncultured bacterium
Lineage: Bacteria
Description: partial 16S ribosomal RNA
Rfam family: Bacterial small subunit ribosomal RNA
Source: RNAcentral
GAUGAACGCUGGCGGCGUGCCUAAUACAUGCAAGUCGAGCGAACAGACGAGGAGCUUGCUCCUCUGACGUUAGCGGCGGACGGGUGAGUAACACGUGGAUAACCUACCUAUAAGACUGGGAUAACUUCGGGAAACCGGAGCUAAUACCGGAUAAUAUAUUGAACCGCAUGGUUCAAUAGUGAAAGACGGUUUUGCUGUCACUUAUAGAUGGAUCCGCGCCGCAUUAGCUAGUUGGUAAGGUAACGGCUUACCAAGGCAACGAUGCGUAGCCGACCUGAGAGGGUGAUCGGCCACACUGGAACUGAGACACGGUCCAGACUCCUACGGGAGGCAGCAGUAGGGAAUCUUCCGCAAAGGGCGAAAGCUUGACGGAGCAACGCCGCGUGAGUGAUGAAGGCCUUCGGAUCGUAAAACUCUGUUAUUAGGGAAGAACAAAUGUGUAAGUAACUAUGCACGUCUUGACGGUACCUAAUCAGAAAGCCACGGCUAACUACGUG